RNAcentral lists this ribosomal RNA (500 nucleotides) under uncultured bacterium. RNAcentral's name for it is "partial 16S ribosomal RNA". It matches the Rfam family "Bacterial small subunit ribosomal RNA", at positions 30 to 523 of the family's 1533-position model. The record is from RNAcentral.
AUUGAACGCUGGCGGCAGGCUUAACACAUGCAAGUCGAGCGGGGGAAGGUAGCUUGCUACCGGACCUAGCGGCGGACCGGUGAGUAAUGCUUAGGAAUCUGCCUAUUAGUGGGGGACAACAUCUCGAAAGGGAUGCUAAUACCGCAUACGUCCUACGGGAGAAAGCAGGGGAUCUUCGGACCUUGCGCUAAUAGAUGAGCCUAAGUCGGACUAGCUAGUUGGUGGGGUAAAGGCCUACCAAGGCGACGAUCUGUAGCGGGUCUGAGAGGAUGAUCCGCCACACUGGGACUGAGACACGGCCCAGACUCCUACGGGAGGCAGCAGUGGGGAAUAUUGGACAAUGGGGGGAACCCUGAUCCAGCCAUGCCGCGUGUGUGAAGAAGGCCUAUGGUUGUAAAGCACUUUAAGCGAGGAGGAGGCUACUCUAGUUAAUACCUAGGGAUAGUGGACGUUACUCGCAGAAUAAGCACCGGCUAACUCUGUGCCAGCCGCCGCGGUAA